Molecule: long non-coding RNA, 4420 nt
Filed under: Marmota monax (woodchuck)
Lineage: Eukaryota; Metazoa; Chordata; Mammalia; Rodentia; Sciuridae
Source: RNAcentral
UUUGUAUAACCCUGAGGGUCUCCUUCCAUUUCCAUGCAAUUUCCCUUCUCUCUCCCUUUCCCUCCCACCUCUCAUCCCUGUUUAAUGUUAAUCUUCUUCUCAUGCUCUUCGUCCCUACUCUGUUCUUAGUUACUCUCCUUAUAUCAAAGAAGACAUUUGGCAUUUGUUUUUUAGGGAUUGGCUAGCUUCACUUAGCAUAAUCUGCUCUAAUGCCAUCCAUUUCCCUGCAAAUUCUAUGAUUUUGUCAUUUUUUAAUGCAGAGUAAUACUCCAUUGUGUAUAAAUGCCACAUUUUUUUUAUCCAUUCGUCUAUUGAAGGGCAUCUAGGUUGGUUCCACAGUCUUGCUAUUGUGAAUUGUGCUGCUAUGAACAUCGAUGUAGCAGUGUCCCUGUAGCCUGCUCUUUUUAGGUCUUUAGGGAAUAGACCAAGAAGGGGAAUAUCUCAGCAAAAGAAACAAUAAGAGAGGUAAAUAGGGAGCCUACACCCUGGGAACAAAUCUUUACUCCUCACACUUCAGAUAGAGCCCUAAUAUCCAGAGUAUACAAAGAACUCAAAAAAUUAGACAAUAAGAGAACAAACAACCCAAUCAACAAAUGGGCCAAGGACCUGAACAGACACUUCUCAGAGGAGGACAUACAGUCAAUCAACAAGUACAUGAAAAAAUGCUCACCAUCUCUAGCUGUCAGAGAAAUGCAAAUCAAAACCACCCUAAGAUACCAUCUCACUCCAGUAAGAUUGGCAGCCAUUAUGAAGUCAAACAACAACAAGUGCUGGCGAGGAUGUGGGGAAAAGGGUACACUUGUACAUUGCUGGUGUAAUUGAAAUCUUAACAAUAAUCUCUUACAGAUUUUAUGAUUAGUAGAAAUUAUCCUUACUUCCCUUAGUUUCAGAAUCUGGUCUGUACAGAGUCACAAAAUCUUUCCUUAAGGGUAACUUGGCUUCUUCUUAUAAACAUUAUUUUGAAACUUCAUUUUUUCUGCAGAUAACCAUUUGUUAAGAAAUGUUACAUAACCUGUCCAGUUAAGCCAGAAAGGGUGCAAGUAAAUUGUUUCAGGUAAAAUAAAGCAUGAGGUAAACAUUUUGGGCCUAUUUACUUUUUAUUUAUGGGACCGUGUAUUGAAACUAGAGGUAGUCAACAACUGAGCUACAUCAACAGCCCUUUUUAUAAAUUUUACUUUAUUUAGAGACAAGUUCUCACUAUUUUGCUUAGUGCCUCACUGAUAAGUUGCUGAGACUGGCUCUUAACUCAUGAUUCUCUUGCCUCACCCUAUAAAUCUAAUGGUAAUAUAGGCAUGGGGCACCAUGCCCAACCUACCACUUAUCUUAAAGGUACUUCAAUUUUUAUUACAAGGCUCUGUGAAUAAUACUAUCAUGAAAAUGGAAGUGCAAUGUAUUCUAUGAUGUAAUGACUCUAAUUUGUUUACAUCCAUAUUCAAAAUUACUAGUACUGGAUCAUUUUAUUUAACUAUAUUUUUAUUUUAACUUUUUGAAGAACCUGAAUACCAUUUUCUAAAACAGCUUUAUUUAAUUUAUAUUCUCACCAACAUUUUUACAACUGAUUAUUUAUAUCUAUGCUCAUAUAUUCUGGAGUAUCUACUAUUUUUUCCAUUUUUGUUUCUUCUUCUAAAUAUUUAUUUAUUUAUUUAUUUGUCAGAGACAGACAAAUUCCUUUUAUUUUAUUUAUUUAUUUUAUCUGGUUCUGAGGCUUAAACCAGUGACUUUCAUGUAUUAGGCAAUUGCUGUACAACUAAGCCAGAACCACAGCCACUAUCUUUUGAAUUUUUUUAGAAGGUAUUCUGACAACACUACAAAGGUUGUAGGAAUUUGCCAUUUGACUGAUGCAUUAAAUUGCUGAUACUAGCUUGUCAGAAUUUAGGCUGUCAAGUAGCCAGAGGCAGAGUGUGCUUUAAAUACUUUCUCUGAUCAAUCGGGGAUCAUUAAUUUUUAACACAUUUCUAACACUACUGCUGGGAAUUUUAGUCCUUAGAUGUAGUUACACACAAUGCAAAUCCAAUUGUUUGCUAUGUAUGAAGAUUUGCACAUGCUCAAUCUCCUUUGCUUAUAGAUAUUGGAAGUUUAGGAUAAAAUUUCUUCAACAGAAGUUGCUAAUGUUAGACACUCAGUGCAUGGAGAAACUUUUUUUUUCUGGAAACAAUUGGUAGGCUUAAAAUUAUUAUUGGGGUAAACAAGGGUAGGUCAGGGCUCAGAAAGUGCUCAAGUUACACUGAGUCUAUCAGUGGUUUGCUUAAUUUUACCUCUUGAACCCAGAAUUAAAUCAAAAGAAAAGCAAAUUUUCCAGCAACAGAAGUAAGAAAACCACUGGUAAGUCUAUUCUUGGAACAAACUGACACCUUUGAGAUUUAACUUCUCUGCCUUCAGGUUGUGAAACACAUGAAAAGACUUACUUGUUCAUAGAAGACCACCACUUUGUCAUUUUUAUACUUAUAUAUCACUUCUUCUAUAACCAAUGAAUAAAUUAAUGUAGAAAUUACAGAAAUAUUUAAAGUCGCUUUUAUAUAUCUUGAUAGCCCUCUAUUCAAGGUGUCCCCUGACUUUGGGGGAAUUUUGUCCCAAAUAUGUGGCACUUCACUCGACAAUUCAAAUAUCCAGGUCUACUCCACCUUUUUCCUACUCAUUUCACUGUAGUUAUUUUCUUUAUUGUCCAAUGUACCUACAUCUCUGAAUUCAUUCAUGACUUUGUCAAAUAAGGAUCCAUAACAUAAGUAUAUGUGUAUUCGGUGUAUCAGUAAAGGGAGAGAUGGUUAGAAGCUUCACAUUCUGCUAUAUUUCUGUUAUGUUUCAGUUGUUAGGUGUCCCCCAAAAGCUCCCCUGUUAGACAAUGCAGGGAGGUUUGGGAUACAAAUGAUUGGGUUAUAGCCUUAAUGUCAUCAGUGAAUUAAUUCCUGAAUAAAUUACCUGUGUGGUAACUGAAGUGACAAUGUGUCGCUGAAGGAAGUGGGAAUUGGGCAUGUGGCUUUGAAGUAUAAAUUUAUGUAUUUACUCAAAACAGAGAAUCUGUCUCUUCUUCCUAGUCAUCAUGAGAGUUUCUUCCCUCUGCUACACCCUUCUGCCAUUAAGUUCUGCCUCACCUUGAGCCCUAAGGAAUGGAGCAGUCUUCUAUAGACAAAGACCUCUGUAAAGCUAAGCCUGCAAAUAAAAUUUUAUUCCUCUACAAUUUCUCUGGUCAAGUUCUUUAGUCACAGUGGUAAAAAAAAAAAAAAAAAAAUAAAGCUGACUAAAACAACUUCUAAUUUCAUCUCACCUUAACAUCUUCUUUUUGUGAUGAGUUUGAACAUUACCUUACAUAUUCUGCACACAGAGUUUCAGGAAACUGUAAUCCUAGCCCAAACAUAUAACUUUCUAUUUUUAAUUUAUUUAUUAAUUUAUUUUUCACAUAAUAAGUUACAGUUAAUCUUGGGUAUUGCAAAUUUCAUAAGAGAACUUAUGUAAUAUUUUCGAGACAUACAAUUAAGAUUUUUUAUUUAAAAUAUUUUAUUUCUUCUGCAUUCACUCACAUUCUUUUAUAAUCUAAUAUUUAAAAAUUUAUUCUAAUUUCUUAUAUAUGAUGGCAGAAUUCAUUUCAGUUCAUAAUACACAUAUAUGGCACGAUUCUUUAUAUCUCUUGUUAUACACAACAUAGAGUCACACCAUUUGUGUCUUCAUACAUUUACUUAGGGAAAUGGUAUGUUUCUUUUUCCACCGCCUUUCCUAUUGCCAUGUCCCCUUCCUCCUCCCCUCUGCCACAUCUAUAGUUUGUCUAUUCCUCCCGUCCUCCUCCUUCCUCUCAAUUUUGAAUCACAAUCUUUAUAUCAGAGAAAAUAUUCAGCAUUUGUUUUGUUGAAUAUUGGCUUACUUCACUUAUUAGAUUUAUAUUCUCCAACUCCAUCCAUUUAUCUGAAAAUGCCAUGAAUGUAUUCAAUUGUGUAUUAAUGUGCAUUUUAUUUAUCCAUUAUUCUACUGAAGAGCAUCAGAGCAUACUACAAGGAUACAGCUAAAUCAAUAUUUAUAACAGCACAAUUCCAAAAAUGCUUAAAACCACCAGAUUAUAAUAUUUAUUUUUCUAAAGAUCUUAUGUACAGAUAUUAAAAUUCUACUUUACACAGUUUUAUGAGCAUUGUGGUUAUUGAAGAUAUUGAAUGUUUCUUUAGAUAUUUGCAAUCAGGUAUACAAUUAUUUGUUCUAAUAAAAUUGUUUCUAAAAUAAAAAUUUUAAAUGGAGAAGCCAAUAAAAUCAAAGUCUGGCCUCAUAAUUUAUUAGGUAUAAGAGUUUGUAAAAUAUGUUUUAUAUAUAUCUUAGGUUUUCUUACUUAGUAACUCUAUAAACUAUGAUAAAUCAACUAAGUAUUCUGGGAAUCUCAGUUUUAUCAUCUGUCAAUCAUUAAUAAUUUCUCUCAGAGUUUCUGUAAAGUUUGAUAGUGCCC